CAGCAGCCGCGGUAAUACGAAGGGUGCAAGCGUUAAUCGGAAUUACUGGGCGUAAAGCGUGCGUAGGCGGUGAGUUAAGUCUGUUGUGAAAUCCCCGGGCUCAACCUGGGAAUGGCAAUGGAUACUGGCAAGCUAGAGUGUGUCAGAGGAUGGUGGAAUUCCCGGUGUAGCGGUGAAAUGCGUAGAGAUCGAGAGGAACAUCAGUGGCGAAGGCGGCCAUCUGGGACAACACUGACGCUGAGGCACGAAAGCGUGGGGAGCAAACAGGAUUAGAUACCCCAGUAGUCCCUGUCUCUUAUAC
This 301-nucleotide ribosomal RNA is filed under the name uncultured bacterium. Its description in RNAcentral is "partial 16S ribosomal RNA". It matches the Rfam family "Bacterial small subunit ribosomal RNA", at positions 509 to 807 of the family's 1533-position model. The record is from RNAcentral.